AUUGAACGCUGGCGGCAUGCCUUACACAUGCAAGUCGAGCGGCAGCGCGGGGGCAACCCUGGCGGCGAGCGGCGGACGGGUGAGUAAUACAUCGGAACGUGUCCUUUCGUGGGGGAUAACCAGUCGAAAGACUGGCUAAUACCGCAUGAGAUCUCACGAUGAAAGCGGGGGACCGCAAGGCCUCGCGCGAUUGGAGCGGCCGAUGUCGGAUUAGCUAGUUGGCGGGGUAAAAGCCCACCAAGGCGACGAUCCGUAGCUGGUUUGAGAGAACGACCAGCCACACUGGGACUGAGACACGGCCCAGACUCCUACGGGAGGCAGCAGUGGGGAAUUUUGGACAAUGGGCGCAAGCCUGAUCCAGCCANGUUCCGCGUGUGU
Molecule: ribosomal RNA, 378 nt
Filed under: uncultured bacterium
Lineage: Bacteria
Description: bacterial SSU rRNA
Rfam family: Bacterial small subunit ribosomal RNA
Source: RNAcentral